Molecule: ribosomal RNA, 578 nt
Filed under: uncultured bacterium
Lineage: Bacteria
Description: bacterial SSU rRNA
Rfam family: Bacterial small subunit ribosomal RNA
Source: RNAcentral
AGGAGUUUGAUCCUGGCUCAGAAUCAACGCUGGCGGCGCGCCUAACACAUGCAAGUCGAACGAGAAAGUGGAGCAAUCCAUGAGUAAAGUGGCGUACGGGUGAGUAACACGUGGAUCAUCUACCUUCUAGUGGGGGAUAACCCUGGGAAACCGGGGCUAAUACCGCAUAAGCUCGAGAGAGGAAAGCAGCAAUGCGCUGGAAGAGGAGUCCGCGGCCGAUUACGCUAGUUGGUAGGGUAAAAGCCUACCAAGGCUACGAUCGGUAGCCGGCCUGAGAGGGCACACGGCACACUGGCACUGAAACACGGGCCAGACUCCUACGGGAGGCAGCAGUGGGGAAUCUUGCACAAUGGGGGCAACCCUGAUGCAGCGACGCCGCGUGAGCGAUGAAGCCCUUCGGGGUGUAAAGCUCUUUCGGCAGGGAAGAUUAUGACGGUACCUGCAGAAGCAGCUGCGGCUAACUACGUGCCAGCAGCCGCGGUAAUACGUAGGCAGCAAGCGUUGUUCGGAGUUACUGGGCGUAAAGGGUGUGUAGGCGGUCUCUAAGUCUGGGUGAAAUCUCCCGGCUCAACUGGGAG